GGCCACAGCACAUAGUGCCCCUGUAAAGCUACACUAGUGGCGAUAGAGGAUUGAAAGGUUGAGCUCAGACCACAAACACUACUUUCUGUUUACCUCCUGCCCCUGCAACAAGGCCUUCCCCUGAUCUGAGCUAAUCCAACAGGCUAAUCUUGCCACUAGCUUGAGAACCACAGGAAUCAUUCUACUCUCCCUCAUUGUGAGGAAAGGUCCCAAUGUUCUAACCCAGCUGGAGUCCCAAGACGGGAUACAUGUGAUAGCACCAUGUGCACCACUACGAUGGUCCUCACCACUAUUGCUGUCAUCCUAUACAGAAAGUUCUCAAACCGAGUCGAACCGCACAAUGUUGAUGAUACCAAUGAGGAGCCCUACAUGAAGAGCAAUGGAGUGGACCCUAAGAAAUAACAACCCUCACAGCAGAUGUAGCUCUAGUCUACAGUGUACAUGGUACAUAAAAGUAAAAUAACAAGUAGCCUACAGAACUGAAUGCUGUCUGAUAUUUCAAGAUGUGUUAAGGAAUACAAGAGGAGGAGGGGAAGAGAGAGGGAGGGAAAAUGGAACAUGUGGCAGAAGUAGAGAUGCAUGAAGUGAGAAGAUGUAUGGCCGUUCCACAUUUAGCUUUCAAGUACUCACCACUACGCUGCUCCCACUAAAUGAUUUAGUGGCAGAACAACAAUCCAUCAGCUCUGUGGAAGGUUAUUAUAAAUGCAUUACCUCCCCAAGCCUACCAGUUCAAUGGAGUCGUGCAGGGCCUCAUAAAUAUGGGUCAAUAUAGGGACACACACAAAAGACUCAGGAUGAAUGAAAUAGGCUUUAUUGUUUUAGUGUGAACUUUCACCCUACCUGUGCGUAGAAGCUCUCAGAUCUGAGGCGGGUCUUUUCAAAUGAAGAGACACACGAACUGAAGACAGGUCUUCACCUUGAUGGCUACACAUCUGAUCCCUCUAAUAUUAUUUCAGCAGAGGAUUGUCCCAGGAGGCCUCCCUCCUCCUUCUUGAGGCAGGAGAAUUACAUUUCUGGGAAUGAAACCUCAACCAAUCACAUCUUGGUGGAGCUGAAUCUACAGAACAACGUCUUGGUUUAUUGUGGGUUUCUUGUUUUGUAGAGUUGGAUGUUUUCUUAAGGCUUAAAGUAGGCCAAUGAUCAAUGUAAAACUGUUGGAAUGUGUUCCGUGCCUCAAAAAACAGUAGUUUUCUUUGAUUGUCAAAUAGGGCUAUACAGAUGUGUCCAUUGAGUAAAUUAUAAUGGCUUUUAAAGAAGAGGCAGAACUUUAAAAUUAUGCACUUUAAAUGGUAGGAUGUUUUUGGUAAUCUUUCACAUUCCUAAAGUGACUUAAAUAUUGUUUUUGACUGAAACAAGGAGCUACGGAUAAGCAAUAUGUUUAAAAUGAAUCGCUUGAACCCAUAAAUAUUUGACCAAAUGUCAGAGAACAUAAAUGUCUUGUCGUGAAGAUGUUUGUGCCAUGGCUACUCAAUCUGAAGAGCAAUGGAAAGAGGCAUCUGUUUUGUACCUCUCUGUCAACCCUCUCCAGUCACAAUGCAUUGCUAUGUGAUGAAAGAAAACCUGCAAGUGAAUCACCUCUUCCCCUACACCUUUAGCAUCCCGUUGGUCCCAUUGAAGGAGCAACAGUCAGAAAGAGGUGUCUGCCUAUGUUCAAAACACAGCUCCAACUUUACUUGACAUUUUUAAAAGCAGCUAGGUGUCACCUUAGUAAACGUCUGCCUUGAGUCAGAGCUUGGUGAUGAUGGUGGUUACUGGUAGGACGGUUUGUUACAGAAUCGACUUUCCUUUGACAUGACAUCUUACAACCUACUUCUUCUCUCUAAAGCAAACAUUAUGUCUGUUCUUUGCUCUCCCCACCUGAUCAAAUAAAGAGAUUGGGAAAAAUGUAGUUAGUUUGUACAUAUUUUUAUGGCCUUGGUUUGAAUUUUCUCUUGUUGUAGGAUACCUACUCCCAAAUGUUGCAUUGUAUGUACUGCAUGAUGACCAUUACUGUAUUACCACUUAUAAGAGACCCUUCAACAUGUAACAUACACAGUCUGAGAUAUUGAAUCUGUUCAUGUUUGUUUUUUUAACCACUCCAAACAAGAAGAAUUAAGCAGAUACCUCAGCAAGACGUCACCUGACCUCAUAAGGAUAAAACAGUGAUCACAAACGUGAGCAGGUAAAUAUAGCUCUGCUGCUGACACAAUAGCCUUGUGUUAUUUACUUCCAAUCUCACCAGACGUCAACAUGACAGUGGUUACUAUCAAAUCAUUAGACUGGCAAAUGACCCCACAAAUUGAUUGAAGGACCUUGAAAAAGGUCCAUAAAGAAAAUCCAAACGAGUCAUGUUUAGGAAGACGCAGGGCUCUCGACCUUCGUCUCUCCCGAGUCCAUACGGGAGUUGCAGCGAUGGGAAAAGACUAACUACCAAUUAGAUACUACGAAAUUGGGAAGGAAAAUGGGUAAACAAAAAAACAAAAAAACAAGAAGAAGCCAAACGAAAACACCUGUGGUGUUACAGGCAACAAAAUAUUUUCUUUGGUUUGGUUUUCCGAUGUCAACGUUGUGAACAGAGUGCCCCAUGGUGGCACUCUGGUGGGGUUAUGGUGUGGGCAGGCAUAAGCUACAGACGACGAAUACAAUUGCAUUUUAUUGUAGAUGCACAGAGGUACUGUACCGUGAUGAGAUCCUGAGGCCCAUUGUCAUGCCAUUCAUCUGCCGCCAUCGCCUCAUGUUUCAGCAUGAUAAUGCAUGGCCCCAUGUCCCAAGGAUUUGAACACAAUUCCUGGAAACUGAAAAUGGCCCAGUUCUUCCAUGGUCUGCAUACUCAACAGGAAUGUCACCCAUUGAGCAUGUUUGGGAUGCUCUGCAUGUUGCGUUUAUAUUUUUACUAAGUAAAUAAUUACUACGGUCUAAAUAAAAAUAUUCAAAAUACUUAACCAGAGACAUGACUUAGCCACACAGGAUCAUUAGCUUGUUUAAAAAAAAAUGCUAUGGAUAGUUUCAAGUCACAAGUGUGUAAGCCUAUGCUUAUUUGGGAAUCACGGAAUUGGGUAACAUGAACGGCAAAAUGUCUAGCUGAUUGAGAUGUGUCUGUCAGUGACAAGCAUCUAAAAUAUGUGUGAAGAUAAUAUGUCUUGAGUAUAAUAUAAAAUGUUGCAACAAGGAGGGGAGGGUAGGUGGAGAAGACAUGUCUCUCUCCAGAAUGCGCUCAGUGGUCUCCUAACAAUUAUUGCGCAUGAAUUGUUUCAUUAUGUGAAUUGUUUGCCCUAUUGUUAAUUUAAAAAAAUAAA
This is a long non-coding RNA of Oncorhynchus tshawytscha (Chinook salmon), 3275 nucleotides long. The record is from Ensembl. Lineage: Eukaryota; Metazoa; Chordata; Actinopteri; Salmoniformes; Salmonidae.